RNAcentral lists this ribosomal RNA (501 nucleotides) under uncultured bacterium. RNAcentral describes it as "partial 16S ribosomal RNA". It matches the Rfam family "Bacterial small subunit ribosomal RNA", at positions 30 to 523 of the family's 1533-position model. The record is from RNAcentral.
AUUGAACGCUGGCGGCAUGCCUUACACAUGCAAGUCGAACGGCAGCACGGGUGCUUGCACCUGGUGGCGAGUGGCGAACGGGUGAGUAAUAUAUCGGAACGUACCUUAUUGUGGGGGAUAACGCAGCGAAAGCUGUGCUAAUACCGCAUAAUCCCUAAGGGGGAAAGCGGGGGACCGUCAGGCCUCGCGCAAUUAGAGCGGCCGAUACCUGAUUAGCUAGUUGGUGAGGUAAAGGCUCACCAAGGCAACGAUCAGUAGCUGGUCUGAGAGGACGAUCAGCCACACUGGGACUGAGACACGGCCCAGACUCCUACGGGAGGCAGCAGUGGGGAAUUUUGGACAAUGGGGGCAACCCUGAUCCAGCAAUGCCGCGUGAGUGAAGAAGGCCUUCGGGUUGUAAAGCUCUUUUGUCAGGGAAGAAACAGCAGCUCUAACACAGUUUGCGAAUGACGGUACCUGAAGAAUAAGCACCGGCUAACUACGUGCCAGCCGCCGCGGUAA